This 77-nucleotide transfer RNA is filed under the name Lentisphaerae bacterium GWF2_50_93. RNAcentral describes it as "tRNA-Ala". It matches the Rfam family "tRNA". From Rfam's summary of the family: Transfer RNA (tRNA) molecules are approximately 80 nucleotides in length. Lineage: Bacteria; Pseudomonadati; Lentisphaerota. RNAcentral also lists the same sequence under 2 other names. The record is from RNAcentral.
GGGGCAUUAGCUCAGUUGGCUAGAGCGCUUGCAUGGCAUGCAAGAGGUCAAGGGUUCAACUCCCUUAUGCUCCACCA